RNAcentral lists this ribosomal RNA (1307 nucleotides) under metagenome. RNAcentral describes it as "SSU rRNA". It matches the Rfam family "Eukaryotic small subunit ribosomal RNA", at positions 483 to 1783 of the family's 1831-position model. The record is from RNAcentral.
AUACCGGGCCUUUUUGGGCUUGGUAAUUGGAAUGAGGGAGAGUUAAACGGACCAUCGAGUAUCCAUUGGAGGGCAAGUCUGGUGCCAGCAGCUGCGGUAAUACCAGCUCCAAUAGCGUAUAUUAAAGUUGUUGCAGUUAAAAAGCUCGUAGUUGGACUUGUGUGCGCUGUCCGCGGGUGGCCUGCGCCCAAAAGGGCGUUUCGGUUCGGCCCCGGUGGCGCCUUGAAAUCUGCAGCUGGGGGGACGUUGGCCUUAACUGGUCGGCGACCGCACGCCGGCUGCUCGGUUACUGUGAGAAAAUUAGAGUGUUCAAGGCAGGCAUUGGGUGCAAUUGAAUACAUUAGCAUGGAAUAAUAAAAUAUGGCUCCUGCCGUAUUUUGUUGGUUUUGACUGGUGGGAGUAAUGAUCGAUAGGGACGGUUGGGGGUGCUAGUAUUGAGCGGCCAGAGGUGAAAUUCAUGGAUUCGCUCAAGACUAACUUAUGCGAAAGCAUUCGCCAAGGACGUCCUCUUUAAUCAAGAACGAAAGUUGGGGGAUCGAAGACGAUCAGAUACCGUCGUAGUCUCAACCAUAAACUAUGUCGACUUGGGAUCGGCGGUAGUUUUUUCAUUAAGACACUGUCGGGACCACGGGAGAAAUCAAAGUGUCUGGACUCUGGGGGAAGUAUGGUCGCAAGGCUGAAACUUGAAGGAAUUGACGGAAGGGCACCACCAGGAGUGGAGCCUGCGGCUUAAUUUGACACAACACGGGGAAACUUACCAGGUCCAGAGAUGUAGAGGAUUGACAGAUUGAAGCUCUUUCUUGAUCACUUCGGUCGUGGUGCAUGGCCGUUCUUAGUUGGUGGAGUGAUUUGUCUGGUUAAUUCCGUUAACGAACGAGACCUCAGCCUGCUAGUGUAGUCGGCUGGAUUGCCUUUGGCGAUCCGUGAUUUCGACUUCUUAGAGGGACAAUCGACGCGCAGUCGAUGGAAGUUUGAGGCAAUAACAGGUCUGUGAUGCCCUUAGAUGUUCUGGGCCGCACGCGCGCUACACUGCUGGGCUCAGCGAGUUUUACUUGGCCGAGAGGCCCGGUUAAUCUUGUGAAAUCCCAGCGUGCUUUGGCUCGCCUCCUGCAACUGGAGGCGCCAACGAGGAAUUCCUAGUAGACGCAGGUCAUCAACCUGCAUCGAUUACGUCCCUGCCCUUUGUACACACCGCCCGUCGCUCCAUAAGAGUGAGGCAUCCGGUGAAUUCUCGGGAGAGCCUGGGCGUGGCCAGCAAUGGUCUGCUCGGGUUUGAACUUGCAUAAACUUGGUGCCUAUGAUUAGGG